Molecule: ribosomal RNA, 253 nt
Filed under: uncultured bacterium
Lineage: Bacteria
Description: partial 16S ribosomal RNA
Rfam family: Bacterial small subunit ribosomal RNA
Source: RNAcentral
UACGUAGGGUGCGAGCGUUGUCCGGAAUUACUGGGCGUAAAGAGCUCGUAGGUGGUUUGUCGCGUUGUUCGUGAAAACUCACAGCUUAACUGUGGGCGUGCGGGCGAUACGGGCAUACUGGAGUACUGCAGGGGAGACUGGAAUUCCUGGUGUAGCGGUGGAAUGCGCAGAUAUCAGGAGGAACACCGAUGGCGAAGGCAGAUCUCUGGGCCGUAACUGACGCUGAGGAGCGAAAGCAUGGGGAGCGAACAGG